RNAcentral lists this ribosomal RNA (433 nucleotides) under uncultured bacterium. RNAcentral's name for it is "bacterial SSU rRNA". It matches the Rfam family "Bacterial small subunit ribosomal RNA", at positions 355 to 796 of the family's 1533-position model. The record is from RNAcentral.
UCGAGGAUCUUCGGCAAUGGGGGCAACCCUGACCGAGCGAUGCCGCGUGUGCGACGAAGGCCUUCGGGUUGUAAAGCACUGUCGGGGGGGAGAAAGGCCGCAAGGCGUGAUCUAUCCCCGGAGGAAGCUCGGGCUAAGUUCGUGCCAGCAGCCGCGGUAAGACGAACCGAGCGAACGUUGUUCGGAAUCACUGGGCUUAAAGGGCGCGUAGGCGGGCUGCGGCGUCCGGGGUGAAAUCCUCCCGCCCAACGGGAGAACGGCCUCGGAUACGGGCGGCCUGGAGGGGGGUAGGGGCGGGCGGAACUGUGGGUGGAGCGGUGAAAUGCGUUGAGAUCCACAGGAACUCCGGUGGCGAAGGCGGCCCGCUGGACCCCACCUGACGCUGAGGCGCGAAAGCCAGGGGAGCGAACGGGAUUAGAUACCCCCGUAGUCC